AAUAGAUACCCCGGUAGUCCACGCCGUAAACGAUGAAUACUAGGUGUAGGGGUUGUCAUGACCUCUGUGCCGCCGCUAACGCAUUAAGUAUUCCGCCUGGGGAGUACGGUCGCAAGAUUAAAACUCAAAGGAAUUGACGGGGGCCCGCACAAGCAGCGGAGCAUGUGGUUUAAUUCGAAGCAACGCGAAGAACCUUACCUAGACUUGACAUCUCCUGAAUUACUCUGUAAUGGAGGAAGCCACUUCGGUGGCAGGAAGACAGGUGGUGCAUGGUUGUCGUCAGCUCGUGUCGUGAGAUGUUGGGUUAAGUCCCGCAACGAGCGCAACCCUUAUUGUUAGUUGCUACCAUUUAGUUGAGCACUCUAGCGAGACUGCCCGGGUUAACCGGGAGGAAGGUGGGGAUGACGUCAAAUCAUCAUGCCCCUUAUGUCUAGGGCUACACACGUGCUACAAUGGUCGGUACAAUGAGAUGCAACCUCGCGAGAGUGAGCAAAAACUAUAAAAACCGAUCUCAGUUCGGAUUGUAGGCUGAAA
RNAcentral lists this ribosomal RNA (534 nucleotides) under uncultured bacterium. Its description in RNAcentral is "bacterial SSU rRNA". It matches the Rfam family "Bacterial small subunit ribosomal RNA", at positions 777 to 1310 of the family's 1533-position model. The record is from RNAcentral.